UUUUGAGUCUUAAGUUUCUUAAAACCUGGGAUUAAACUGUAUCUUAUGUUAAAAGGGUAGCCUAAAUUUCAUUUUUCCAAAACAAAGAUUACGAAAACCGGUGUGAUUUUAAAUACAAGUUCGCGCGCUAGCCCUAGCCGCAUCCCCGCUAUUUUCCCCCAUCUCUCUCAAUUCUUCUUUGUCUCUCAACUAUUUGCGAUUCUUUCUCCUUAAUUUCCAGGUUACUGAAGGAUUCGAAGCGGUUUGCCAUCACUUUUUGGGCAUUUUUAAGCUGCCAUUCCAUGGGAUCUCAUUGCUAGGACAUCUUAAAGGCACAUGAAACUGAUCCUGAAUGGUUAGUGACACAGAGAAAGACUGAGGUUGGCAUCGUAAAGGUUGGAUCAGCAAGUAUUAUGCAGAUUUGGAAAAGUACAAACAAUAGAAAUCACACUCAAAGGUAAAGACUCCUUGGUCGAAGAGAGAGAAAGAAAGGAGGAGAAAAGAUGAAACAUUUCUCACCUUCCAUGGAAAGGUGCUAACACUUGGUGUAACGGACAUACUUGUCCAAGGUGUGUUUACCUAUGGCCGUAUGCUCCGAGUAGCCCCAAUUUAUAUUGUCUUUAUGUCUUAUACAUAGUUUAGUUAGUUACUUUCAAUUUCAAGUCGAUAUGCUUGGGUGUGACAUUUCGGCAUUUUCAUAUGCAAGCCUACCAGAACUGAAAAUCUUCAAAAUGUACUAGGCAUACCUGUUGAAUCACUGUUCAAGUCUUGUCGUACUUUUUGCAAUCUAUGCUUUCUUAUUGCAA
This is a long non-coding RNA of Cucumis sativus (cucumber), 785 nucleotides long. RefSeq lists it as uncharacterized. The record is from RefSeq and is a predicted model, not a curated record. The transcript is spliced from 3 exons. Lineage: Eukaryota; Viridiplantae; Streptophyta; Magnoliopsida; Cucurbitales; Cucurbitaceae.